GGGUGAGGCACUGUAGCUGAAAAUUUAACUUUGAUUUCAAUUUUCAUAUUUGUCAGCAAUAAUUAGAUUCACGAAAUGUUUUGCCACUGUUCUAAAAUACUAAUAAGUAGAGGCCUUUGUAGUGUGGUUAAUGGAGUCUUUUUUUCCUAGUGGUCUAGAAAAAUUCCAUUAAGGCGAAAAGUCAUACUAUAUUACAGCGCUUCGACAUCCACGGACCCUGCUGUCGCGUUAACACCAUCCCAGAGACCGGAGCCCUUCAUUGACUAGAGCCCCUGGCUGCAAAGGGAGUUGGGGCUUCAUAAGCCUCAGCUGUCCAUCAUUUCCGACCUGCAAGGACCUCCCUGGGUCGUGGGGGAAGCCAGCCAGCCAGAGACCAAAAGAGAAGCAAAUUCAAUAAAGCAGCAUUGUUGAAAGGAUGAACCUCCAUAAGCAUUGCCUCCUGGAGCAGGUGGAACAGAGGGCAGGAGGAGGGGGUGGUCAGGUGGGCGCCUGGCCCUGCCUGGGAAGUGUGGCUCGUGCUCAGGGAGAGGAAGUCCAUUCUCCAUCCAUCACCAGACUGGAGUCCCUCCUGGUGGUUUAAGGCUAACGUCCCACCAAGGUAGAACCUGCCUGUAUGUCCUGUCUCCCCUCCAUUCCUCUCUGCAAAGGCUGGGUUCUCUGGAGACAAGGUUUGAUUAAAAAGUGUGAGGUCUGUUAUUUUUGAGGGACUUGUCCCUGGGGUGUCUCAACCUCUGCCUAAGGUCCCAGGGAACUCCCUGCAGGCAGGAUGUCCUGGGCUAAGUGACUGCAUUUGCCUGGGUAAGCACAUGAUUGUCCACACUCUGCAGAGUUCCCUGGAGAGGGGAGCUGGGGCAUCCCCAUCUCUCUUGCCCCAUCUCAACACCAUGGCCCCGCAGCCAUGCUGGGCUCACUUGAGCGCCUGGCAUCUUGCUGGAACUCCUAGGCAGGCUGCUGCUGCAGAGACGGGGCCUCUUAGCUGACCUUGGAAUCUGGUGAACUUGAACUCUGCCGUGAUGUUCUUAGCCCUCCUCCUCCCCUAAGUUCUGAAGAGCAGCCCCGAGCUCUCAGUCUUGAGGCACCCAGAGCGACAGAAGAAAGCAAGCCCAGUGGACAUGUGUGGUCCCCUCCACUGGCCCACAACACACAGGCGGGCAGACGUGUACAGGCAAACUUUUCUCCCCUCUUGGCUUUCCUUUCUUCUCUCUCCGAGAGACUUGGAUUUAUCAUCGUUCUGUUAAGCAGGAGAACUCCUGUGGCUAUUUAUAAUUAAUGCUCAGAAACCUGCCAAUCCAUUUAAUGACACUGGCAGGUCAUGGCCCCCUUAUAGCUCUCCAUUAAUCAUCAUUAGAACAGCUCCGAGUUUUUACAUUCUUUUUAAAUGUUAAUUCACCUCUGUAAUGCUCCUUUUAGUUAAAACUGUAAAGAGGCAAGUGGCUGGUGCCUUGGUGCUCCCACCAGGGGAAAGGCAUGGUGGAGUUGAUAAAGCCUGGCUGGCUUUCUCUGUUCUUCUGUCCUCCACCCCCUGUCCCCACCACCAGAUGUCAACCCAGUGUGUUCUUUGGCUGCCUAUAUUUAUCUUUAGAAAAAGUGUCUAGUGACAUAACGUUCUGGGCAAACAUACUCUGAUAUCUUUGGACUCCUGGGCCCAUGGCGACAACCUGUGAGGAGUCGCUGGCCUGGUGUCCCCACUGGGUUCUGUAGCUCCUUAAGGUGAUGGGGCAGAAAGGGCUCCAGAGGUAAGUGAGACUGAGAACGGCCCUUGUGGUUUUUCCAACACCCACAAACACGCUGCCCACGCGCAGCUAAAAGGGGUCACAGCCCAUGAAGAAUGUUCUUGGGGUCAGGAAAGCUUGCCACUCGUCUCACUUUUGCCACUAAUGGGCUCUGAGCUUUUGGGCAAAACACUUCCCCUCCUUCUUCAGCUAUAAAACGGGGCCCUUAUCUCCCCUGCCUAAUACAUGAGGUUAAAUCUGUAAAGAUUAAAUGGAGUUGAGAUUGUAUAAAACUUUUAAAAUGGCUGCUCUGGAUGCAAAGUGGCUGGUCUCGCCCCUCCCUGCUUCUCCACACACCUAGCCUGCCCUCCUGCCCUGGAUCAUUCAUACCUCAAACUUCCAUAGCUCUUGCUUUAUAUCAUCUUUUUCAAGCCAGAAAAGCAUAUUUUGAAUCAUCAAAGUCCACAAAGCAGAAAGAAUGUAAAAUUGGGAAUGGGGCGACCCCUUAGUUUGAGUACCCACGCUGUUACUUAUUCGCUGUGUAAUUCUGAGCAACUUGCCUUGCCUCUCUGAGCUUCGGGUCUUUUAUUUUUGGAUCUUGUGUUUGUGAGGCCCCUUGAUCUAGAAAAUCCUGUGAUUUUUGUUCCUGCCCAUGAGUCUGUCUAAAGGGCCACGGCAGUGACUCAGACCUAACAGGGACAAACUGGCCCCUUUGCCCAUCAGAACUCUUACUUUUGCAUUGUCUUGUCAAGCAACAUGGCCUAGAGUUUAGAAUUCUAAAAGGGCAAACACAAGUAGAUGGGGGGGACAGAAAAUAUAUAUUUAAUUCAGUUUUGACUCUGAUGUCUUUUGACACCACAUACCUUGGUUCCAAACACUUUGCACAAUAGACUUGACCUUGUUUUCAAGGCUGCCUCAAAUCUGCUGGUUGAGCUGGGAUGACCCCUCAGGCGUGAGGGUUCCAGGCACCUAACCCUUUUUAAUCCUUCUUCAAAAUAAGUUCCCCUCAUUUUCUGCAUAAGUAAACUGAGGCUCAAAGAGGAAAUGUGAGGGAGUUCCCUUGUGGUGCAGUGGGUUAAGGACCUGGCAUUGUCUCUGUCUUGGCUCAGGUCACUGCUGUGGCUCAGAUUUGAUCCCUGGCCCAGGGAACUUCCGUGUGCCCUGGGAACAGCCAAAAAAGAAGAAAGAAAGAAAGAAA
This 2910-nucleotide long non-coding RNA is filed under the name Sus scrofa (pig). Its description in RNAcentral is "lncRNA (ENSSSCG00065032595.1)". The record is from RNAcentral. Lineage: Eukaryota; Metazoa; Chordata; Mammalia; Artiodactyla; Suidae.